Long non-coding RNA from Hemicordylus capensis (graceful crag lizard), 5019 nucleotides. RefSeq lists it as uncharacterized. NCBI's taxonomy places the organism in Eukaryota, Metazoa, Chordata, Lepidosauria, Squamata, Cordylidae. The record is from RefSeq and is a predicted model, not a curated record. The transcript is spliced from 2 exons.
GGAAGGAGGAGGCAGCCAGAGUGGCCACCACUGGUCUCUGCAGCAGAAGACCCCUUGCUGCCAGCAGAACCUAUUCAUAUUCUUCUGAAAAUAAUGAAAGAAGGGUGGGAGCUGUGAAAAGGAAGCAUCUUGGCAAGGGUAAGAGAAAUAAUUAUCCUUUAAAAGUGUAUUAUUAAUCUAUAAUAUCUUGAGGAAUAACAGUUUGUGUUAUUCUUGGUUACAGCCGUGCAGCCAAAGGACAACCUCCCUUUAAAAAAAACCCCAAAAACCAAGGCUGUGAGGAAUCUGGUAAUUAAACUCUGUAUUUAACUAGGCAAUAGAACCCUGAUGCCUUUGGAAACACACUUAACACAGAGCAAUACCAAAGUUGUGAGUUUAAUUAGACAAUAGCACUGUAAUCAGGUGCUCUAACCCCUGGACCUUAGGGCUCCAGUCUGUGGCCUCCAAAGUCCACGAGGCCUCCAAAUGGCUGGGGGGGCCCUCCAGCAGCCACCCCAUGCCCACCCGGCCGCGCCCAACCUCUGCUUUGUUUUUAUUUCAACUGCCUCGUGGCGAAGGGGUGGCUGCCGAGAGGUGGCUGCUGGCAAGGUGAGCCCAGCUGUCUUUCUCCCUCCCCCGGUGGCGGUGGCCAGAGUGAUGCUGAGCCUCUACGUUUGGCCCAGCAUCUCUUUCUACCUGUGAGGUGCAGUUGGAGAGAGCAUUGCAAGCCCAUGAUGGGGGAGGGGGAACCUCUGGGGGACCCCCCCAUGGCCUUGGAGAAGCCCCCCGGAGGGGGUAAAUUGAUUAAAAAAUGGUUUUUUUAAAAAAAAAAUAUUCAUGAACCCUCCCUCUGAACCAAAGUGGGGGCGAGGGGGUUGAGGGGGUCCAAAACUGAACUCGCCUGGUCUGGUUCAAGUCUGGUUUGGACUUGAACCAAACCGGGUCAGCUGGUUUUGUGCACACCCCUACUGUAAUGCAAUUGGUAGCAUACUUCACAAAAAGUUGUGAGUUUGUGCCUCACCUGGUAAAUUAGUUAGAAUUACAACAACAGUCCUAUGAGGUGUCCUGUAUUACAGUUUUCUAACUCCAGUGUGUUCUUGGUUUUAGAACGAGUUUUAAUGCAGGUGAAACAAAUCCAGGCCUUCUGCAACCGUGUUUCAAUGUUAACAUGAUGAUCAGCUGUGCAGACCAACUCAGGGCAGAUGCAGAAGGCCUUGGCUCUUUGAGCUUUCGUAAAGCAGAAAUACAAAACAGCAGCCAUGCACUGCCUCAGCACUAUCGAUGAGCACAGGGUGCACAUAAAUGGAGCCAUUGCCAGAGGUAUAGGAAAUCCUGACCUGGCUGGACUCUGUAGUGAUGUGACAUGUACUACAUAGUGGGAAGAGGGUUCCACCAGCCUUUGAUGCGCAAGCAGUUUCUGAUGCUGAGCCUACAAAGCUGUCUCAAACAAACCCAUUUGCUUUUUUGUAAAAUAGUAUUUUUAUCAUUUUAUCCAUCAUAUAAACAGAAAAGCAUAAGAAAAAUAGGAAUAACAAAAGAAAAAAAGUAAAAAGUAAAAACAAGACGUGAUCAAACAAUACAAAUACAAGGAUUCUCGUUACAGUCUGUUUACUUCCACCUUAGUUCUUUACACCAUCAUCUCUCUCUCCCCUUCUCCAAUCUAAAGGAUAAAUGGCUGCAAAUUUAAAAACAUUAACAGUAAGGUCAACAAUUAGUGUACCUUUCAACAUUAAAUUUCUCUACAAAAAGAAACCAAAUCUCAGGUGAGGAACCAAACCCUGUGAUAUAUUAUAUUGAAUAAAUUGUUCCCAUGUCUGAGAAAAAGAAUCUUCAGAUUUGUUCUUAAUAUAUGCGGUAAUUUUGGCCAUUGAUGCAUAAUCCCACAGUUUAAGAUACCAAUUGUCUAGAGACGGAAUCAGAUUUGUUUUCCAGAAAGAAGCAUAGAGGAUUCUUGCCACCCUUAUCAUAUAUAAAGAAAGUUCAGUGUAUCUUGCUGAAAUAUAUGGUUUAGUGAAAUUUAACAUAAAACUCUCUGGCGGGAAAGGAAAAUCUAUAUGCAAGAUUUGCUGCAUCUUCAAAUGUAUUCUUUUCCAAAAAAUUUGUGCUUUUUAACAUGUCCACCACAUAUGAUAAAAAGUAUCUUUCUGUUCUUUACAUUUCCCCAGAGUAUUCAUCUUUGAAAUCUCUGCUGGGGUAAUAUACCAAUGAAGGUACAUUUUAUACCAGUUUCCCCUCAAGGUACUAUUCACUGUAAAUUUUAUGUUCACCUUCCAUUGAAAUUCCCACAGUUGCAUCUCUAUUGUUUUAUUAAAAUUCUGCAUUCAUUUUAUCAUACAGACUUUCACUGCUUCUGAUUCCAAGUCGUAUUUCAGUAGUAAUUUGUAUAAGACCCAACAAAUGCUCUGAGUUCUUUGUUAUUAGAGUUUCAAAUUCUGUCAAGUCUCUCAGUUUUCCACUUUGCUUCCAUACUUCUUCUUGAAUUAUACUGUUAAUCUGUGAAUACAAUAGCCAGGAAGGAUGUUCAUCCCACUCUUGAUUUAAAGAUUGAAUGGAUUUAAUUUCUGAUCUUCCUAUCAUAAGACUUUGCACAUUGUAUGCUCUGCAUUGAUCAAAUUGUUUUGCAUGUUCUUCUCCACAGAAAUACAUAUUCAAGAUAGAGGCUAUAGGUGACAAUGCUGGACUUAUCCUUUUUUAUACUUGACCCAAACCUUUAAUAGGCUGUGCCUAAUUGAAUGAUUUUUGAUUUCUACAUCCACUUUCUUUACCUCUGUCCACAAAUAUCUGUGUAGGCCAUUAGUCAUGUCUGAUCCUUCCAUAUUUGUAACCCAUCCAUAUGGAGCUUUGUUCCACUCUGCAAUCCAUGUUAAACAACUGGCAUGGUAAUACAGCUUCAAGUUUGGGGUGGCUAAUCCUCCACAUUCUUUUGCGUCUUGCAUAAUCUUAAUUCCCCCCCCCAUUUUUUCCAUUUCCAUUUCCCCCAAAAAAUAAUUUUAUGCAGUUGAGUAAGAAUUGUUCUAUAUUUCCAUCUUAUAUGCUGUAUCUUUUCCUUGCUUCCCUUAUUCAUUCUCACACCAAAUACAUGUUUAUAUUUGCCCCUCCCCGUAUUGACUAAUACAGCCAAUAAUAAAAUCCCAAGCAAUAUAAACAACCACAUGAUAGCAGUAAUCAAAAAAUAAUUCUAUGCAACUAAAUAAGAGCUAGUUUGUAUUUCCCACAGCUAUAUUAUUUCUUUGCUUGUAUCUUGUAUACCCGCUAAUUAAUGGUUGAGAAAGGGGGGAAAGGCAAUAUUUCCUUUUCACUGACCUCAACUGAUAUAAUUAAACCAACUUUUGAGAGAAAGAGCAAACUACACUUCCAUUCAAUAAAACUGGAGAGUUCUCUGACAAUCCACAAGGUCUUUUCAAAUCUUCUUAAAGUCUUCUUCUGCCUCUUCUUCAACUAUUCCAUUAUAUAAUUAAUUGGCAUUAAUCAUUCACUUAGUUAGUUAAAACUUUAUAAUCCACGCAAAGGCCUUGAUAAGUUUAUAAUCCUUAGUGUUUGUUAUCCAAGUAGUCAGUCCAAUAACUUUCUUAAAGAGGAAUAUAUGUUCCCAUUAACUUAUUUGUCUCAUUUCAUGUUUAAUUGUAAUCUUAGUAUGGAUAUUCCAAAUAUAAUCCUGCAUCUCCUCCCUGUUGGGGACACCCUGACCCCAACAUUAAACCUAGAGUUACCAACCCAGAAUUAUAUGGAAUCCAGGCCUGUGUCUGAUUCCAUUUUAUUAAGGAAUAAAUUAAUGCCUGAAUUCAGAUGCACUGAUCAGAGCAUGACACCCUGGUCUCAUGAUUGCCUCUGCUAAUUGCUCUGUGACGGACCAGGCAAUCCAACACUGUAUUUUCAAUGUUUGUGAAAUAGGUACUCAAAAGAGAUACAAUGGCUAAGCUUGGUCUUCUAUCCAAAUGCUAACAUUUAACUUGCUAUCAGAUAAUGUAUCUGGGAAGGUAGGAGCUGAGCUUGCAUUUCCUCUUACAGCAAUGCUCACAGCAAUCAUGGAUUAUUGCUCUGCUCUGCCUAAAGGGGAUAAUCCUCAAUCUCUCUGAGAGUCAUUCACUAUGUAGAAUUAGAAGUAUUGUUACACCCAAUCGCUGUCUUUAGAAAUUCCACCCUAGGUAGAUGCACACAAAGAAAACACCUAUAGCUGUGAUUCUUCUUUGCUAACACCUUUUAACACUCUUGGGGGACCAGGUGCCAGAAAUCUGGGGACAAGAAAAGAUGCUCAUUUGCAGCUCAGAGAUGCAGAUUUGCUUUGGGCAAAUCUCAAUAGAACAAUCUCCUCCCCGAAAACAGGAGAUGGAACUCACCCUGGACUGAGCUAAUAUCCUAAUUACUAUUAAUAAUUAAAAGACACUAUCCAGAGGGUAACAGCAAAUUGUCACCUUUUGGGGAUCCAGGAAGGAUGAGGAUAUUUUGAAUAGACUCUAUGGAUAUCAAAGGAAGAAACAACUAUAAAGAAUGGAGCUCACUGAACAGAGAGCUAGCAAUCUUUGCCUAACAAGCAAUAUUUGCUCAUGUGCGUAUCCCAAGUGCUUGCUGUCUAGCUGCGUAGUAGCACAAGCAUGGAACCUGCAGACAAGAGACUGCUCAGUGAUUCUUGCCACGGGAUGAAGAACCAAGGGCUGACUCUGCUGUGAAAUCCAGCACAAGCUCCUUGCACCUGAAGCCUGCAUCACUCUCAAGCUCCAGCAAUGAACAAGUCCUUUGAAGCCUUCUUCAUGAACCUGGUGAGAUGCCUAUUCAACGCACAGUGCAGCCUCCUCCCCGCUUCCCUCCUCCCUACUAAUCACUGCCCUCCCUUUCCUAAGACCUCCCUUCUUUCUUCUUUCUCUGCUUCUCUCUAAAUGUUUUAUUAGGAUUUGUUAGAUAGCUGUAAUUACUGACUGCACACACAUAGGUUAGCUACACAUUGCACUACACCUUGAAUCAGAAACAUGUUUUUAAUUUGGAUGACCUGUUUGAAUUUCAUCCUGAUGAGCAACUUUCUAUAAUAAAGCCCAUUGAACUUUC